RNAcentral lists this long non-coding RNA (859 nucleotides) under Panax ginseng (ginseng). RNAcentral describes it as "long non-coding RNA (PGIN_LNC000470)". Lineage: Eukaryota; Viridiplantae; Streptophyta; Magnoliopsida; Apiales; Araliaceae. The record is from RNAcentral.
AAAAAAAUUGAUUACCUUGUUUGAAUAUAAUAGAAUGAUGAUGGAACAUUCUUUGGUCUCAGUUGUCUCUCUAGAGAUGCGUGGACAAGACUGUCUUAGUUUUUGAGUUGUACUAUCAUAGAUCUUCAUAGAUCCAGAAGAGAAGUUUUUGAACUGCUCUUGGUUUCUUUAAAGCAGCGUUUUCAGAAGAAUACAAGGCAAAUUCAGAAGUUCCAUUGUCGGUGUCAUAAGUGUAGUUUUUGGGCAGAUUUGUGGAGUUUUGUAGUUAUAUUGAUUGGUACGGUUUUGUGUGAUGGUUGGUUCGGUUGUUAAAUGUAAUUUUGGCGUGAAUUCCAUGAGUUUGUAAUUGAUAGCGUAAUUUCGUCAGGGGUGGAAGUGCUUGAUUAUUUUCAACAGACACUAGUACUAGUUUUUCUAAUAUUUUAUGAACCGUCAAAUUCUCUAGUGUUUGGUUCACAAUAAGCAGAGCAUCAUAUAGCAUAAAAUUGUGUUCGGCUAAUGUUGUUUUUUUUUACUGUAUAAAAAUGUACCAAAGGGAGCGGGAACCAGAGAAAUUAGAACACCAAUCUCAGUUAUAAAAAAGCCCCCCAAAGGAAUUGGAUGAAUUUUAUAUUUGCCUCUAGAACAAAGCCAACAAGAAAGGAUCAUUGGAUCUAAACCUUGUAGCUGAAAGAGGAGGCAAUUACAAUAAAUUAUGCAUUUAUUAAUUCUUUUAAUGUCAAUUAUCUUUUUGUUAUGACAUAAAGCUACAAAAAAAAAUUCAAAAAUAAAAUAAAAUCCACACCCAAAUGAAGCACAGUAUAUAUGUGUAAUUGGAGCAAAUGAUAUACCAAAGAGGAGGAGAACCCAGAGGAUUAAG